CAAGGAUGGGUCUGCGGCCAAUCAGGUAGUAGUGGGUGUAAUGUACCUACUAGCCGACAACGGGUACGGGUUGUGAGAGCAAGAGCCCGGAGAUGGAUUCUGAGACAUGAAUCCAGGCCCUACGGGGCGCAGCAGGCGCGAAAACUUUACAAUGCGGGAAACCGUGAUAAGGGGACACCGAGUGCCAGCAUCAUAUGCUGGCUGUCCGGGUGUGUAAAAUACACCUGUUAGCAAGGGCCGGGCAAGACCGGUGCCAGCCGCCGCGGUAA
This 269-nucleotide ribosomal RNA is filed under the name uncultured Methanosarcina sp. RNAcentral's name for it is "partial 16S ribosomal RNA". It matches the Rfam family "Archaeal small subunit ribosomal RNA", at positions 204 to 473 of the family's 1478-position model. Lineage: Archaea; Methanobacteriati; Methanobacteriota; Methanomicrobia; Methanosarcinales; Methanosarcinaceae. The record is from RNAcentral.